Molecule: long non-coding RNA, 1885 nt
Filed under: Zostera marina
Lineage: Eukaryota; Viridiplantae; Streptophyta; Magnoliopsida; Alismatales; Zosteraceae
Description: long non-coding RNA (ZMAR_LNC003977)
Source: RNAcentral
UUUAACAAUCAAACCAAGACCACACUUCUACCGUCUUCUACCUUCUUCUACAUUCUACUGUAUUCUACCCUCUACUGUCUUCUAACAAUACCAAAGUUUUUAAUCCAUUAUCACAUUAAACACCUUUCCAUAACCUCCUACAACCCAAACGUUCUUACACUCCACUUCCUUCCUAAUUACUGUAAGUUGGUUUACUUGUUUUCUGGUGUUCCGGUGUUCAGGUUUUCUGGUAUUCUGACAUUUUCGUUCCAGUGUGUUUGGUGGGUUCUGUAGUCUGGUUUUCUUUUAUUCUGUGUUCCGGUGAUCUGGUUUUCCGGUGUUCUGAUUUUUUCAGUCCGGUGGUGUUGAAAUCGAUUGAUAGUUAUGGGUUUCUCGUUCUGUUGAAGACCACACUAGUUGGGGUUUAUCUGCGUUCUGGGUUGAGUUAUUCAUACACCUUGUUCUGGUUAGUUUCGUUUUACUCUGCGAUUUCAGGAAAAUUUCUUCUGCAUUCUUGGUAUUUCGCACACCUCGUUGUCCUCUGUAGGGUCACAAUGUUUUUCUGUUGUGCCAGAAAUUUUUAAAAUUUUGUCUUUCCAUCGUCCUGUCAAGGAUCAACAUUGUUCUUCAACGAUUCUUUUUUUUUUAACACUUUAAUCCAAGAUUAAUUUACUCGGCUACCUGUUUUUGCCCCUUAUUUCCAUUUUUUUUUUAAUUUAAAUUUAUGUAGCGUUUUGAAAAAGAUUUCUCAUUGCCGACAUUGCUAUUUCUCAUUGAAUUUAUGCAGUGAACUUUUCUAGAUAUACCAUAUGUCAACUUUUCCAUUAUUCUAUAUGUCAACUCCAAGUUUUCUUACCAAAGACACAUAUUUAUUGUUCUCAGUUUGGCCAUAUGUUUAUCUAAAUUCACUGGUCCUUCAUCCCAAAACUCUCACCGAGAAGCUACUGGCUAGGCGGCGGUGAGCAAAGAAGCACGGAAGAAGGCAAGCUCUCCAGGUUUGGUGGAUCCAAUCACUUCUGAGAUCUGUUUUUGAGAAACUAACUGCUGCAACCUCCGACGUUCGCACCAACCUUACGGGUCUCCGAGCUCCACGUCGUUGAGCCAGUCGAAGUUUAACGGCUCCACUGGAUCAGCAUCAGGAAUGUUCAAAAAACUUGACGCAGCCAUGUAGAGGAAGGCGAUGAACAAGUACCCGCAUUGAGGGUAGACCACCACGUCAUUGUGAGGCGUCAGUGGUGCUUCAGGAACGUACUCCGGAAUCUCAAGUGCAGACUCAGACGGAGGCGGACGAUGAGGUGUAGGACGGACAAUGUCUCGAUGACUUCCGGGUUGAGCAAGUGACAGUGGCGUCUUGUUGUCGGAGGCGUCACGAAAUCGUCGUCGUCUUGGGUGAGAUCUAUGAUCUCCCUCUUCUGCAGAAAAUGUCUUUGCUAUCGACGGAAGCCAUCACCAUUUGUUGAUGAACCUCUGGUCUCAAAUCUUCGCACCAUCGCCGAACGUAGAGAAAGAAGGAUGAGCUUACUCCGAAAGAAGAACUAGCACGGUGAUGAAGAAGGAUGUUCAACCCUCUCGAACGGUCAGCUUAUUUAUAAGCUUGGCCGUGGACUGAUCUAUUACAAUAAUGUGCACUCUUGUUAAAAGGCUAAAUAUUCACAGGUUAAUUGGUUACACUAGCUUUUAUUUUUAUCUAAAUUUAAAUUUCACAUACAUUUUCUCUCAUGCAAUGUACUUCAAUCGAGGUUAACACCGCCUAUGCUAAUGGUAAAGAUUGUAGUUUUUUAUAAUAACCACGGAUUGGACACUACAAUCCGUGGUUAGUGCUCCAAUCCGCACGGAUGAAAUCCUGAUAGUAAAGUAGGAUUUUUUUUUAAUUUGUAUAUUCGUAAAUUAUAAAAUUGUGUUCUAU